This 68-nucleotide transfer RNA is filed under the name Ornithodoros porcinus. RNAcentral describes it as "tRNA-Lys". It matches the Rfam family "tRNA". From Rfam's summary of the family: Transfer RNA (tRNA) molecules are approximately 80 nucleotides in length. Their secondary structure includes four short double-helical elements and three loops (D, anti-codon, and T loops). The record is from RNAcentral. Lineage: Eukaryota; Metazoa; Arthropoda; Arachnida; Ixodida; Argasidae.
CAUUGAAUGGCUGAAAGGAAAGCAUUGGUCUCUUAAACCACCCCAUAGUAUACGAAUACUUUCAAUGA